AUAAGAAGCAAUAAUUUGCAAUUAGUUUCGACCUAAUCUUUGGCUUUUGCCCUUAUUUU
Molecule: transfer RNA, 59 nt
Filed under: Coleoptera sp. ACP-2013
Lineage: Eukaryota; Metazoa; Arthropoda; Insecta; Coleoptera
Description: tRNA-Arg
Source: RNAcentral